RNAcentral lists this long non-coding RNA (350 nucleotides) under Linum usitatissimum (flax). RNAcentral's name for it is "long non-coding RNA (LUSI_LNC005338)". The record is from RNAcentral. Lineage: Eukaryota; Viridiplantae; Streptophyta; Magnoliopsida; Malpighiales; Linaceae.
GAAGAAGGGUUUUGGCUCGAUUCCUCGUUAUGGCAGUUGGACGGUUCGUUCUUGGGGCCACAUGCUUUGAUUGAGGCUUCUUCUUAAUAGGGCCAGCUUCCUUUGGAGCAGGUUUUUCCUUCGGACCAGGUUUUGACUGCGGACCAGGUUUUGCCUUCGGACCAGAUUUUGCCUUCGGACCAGGUUUUGCCUUCGAACCAGGUUUUGCCUUCGGGGCCGAUGCAUGUUUCUUUUGUGGAGAGGUGGUGGCCUUUUCCAGAGCUGGCUUGCAGCCACGGAGAGUAACAAGGGCACUACAGAAGAAAGUGGAACAAAGUAUAAGGAAUAAGGGGAAAACCAACUGGGAAGCA